UACGAAGGGGGCAAGCGUUGUUCGGAAUUACUGGGCGUAAAGCGCGCGUAGGCGGCUUUGUAAGUUAGAGGUGAAAGCCCGGGGCUCAACCCCGGAAUUGCCUUUAAGACUGCAUCGCUUGAAUCCGGGAGAGGUGAGUGGAAUUCCGAGUGUAGAGGUGAAAUUCGUAGAUAUUCGGAAGAACACCAGUGGCGAAGGCGGCUCACUGGACCGGCAUUGACGCUGAGGUGCGAAAGCGUGGGGAGCAAACGGG
RNAcentral lists this ribosomal RNA (253 nucleotides) under uncultured bacterium. Its description in RNAcentral is "partial 16S ribosomal RNA". It matches the Rfam family "Bacterial small subunit ribosomal RNA", at positions 524 to 776 of the family's 1533-position model. The record is from RNAcentral.